UGCAUCGGCUAGGGAAUCGAACCCGGGCCGCCUGCGUGGCAGGCGAGCAUUCUACCACUGAACCACCGAUGG
This 72-nucleotide transfer RNA is filed under the name Cordylochernes scorpioides. Its description in RNAcentral is "tRNA-Gly". Lineage: Eukaryota; Metazoa; Arthropoda; Arachnida; Pseudoscorpiones; Chernetidae. The record is from RNAcentral.